This is a non-coding RNA of Neocucurbitaria cava, 96 nucleotides long. The record is from the annotation of a GenBank genome assembly. Lineage: Eukaryota; Fungi; Ascomycota; Dothideomycetes; Pleosporales; Cucurbitariaceae.
GACAAAGUGCCAGAGUGGUUAAUGGGUUAGACUUGAAUUACAUGUUCAUGCUAUCUAAUGGCUUCGGCCGCGCAGGUUCGAUCCCUGUCUUUGUCG